Molecule: RNA transcript, 2201 nt
Organism: Cucumis sativus (cucumber)
Lineage: Eukaryota; Viridiplantae; Streptophyta; Magnoliopsida; Cucurbitales; Cucurbitaceae
Gene name: probable inactive poly [ADP-ribose] polymerase SRO5
Exons: 5
Source: RefSeq, a predicted model, not a curated record
UUUGAAAUAAAAAAAUGUAAUGGGUUCAACCAAAAACUAAUAGCGCACCGCCCAUCUUAAUCUUUACAAACCGUCCAAUUCUUCUUCAAAAUUCUUAUAACUGACGAAUUCCCUCUUCUUCUUCUUCUUCCUCUUCUCCAAGUAACAAUACCUUCUUAUUCUUCUUCUUCUUCUUCUUCUUAUCCUCCCACUUCUUUCUUCUUCUUAUUGCAUUCGAAUUCAUCAUCCUCUUUUCAUACGACGUACCCAUUUCCCUUUCUUGAUUCUUAAGUUUCUUUCUCUUCACCGACUUCCGAUUGGCGGUCAUGACUUUCUUUUCUUCUCCCUUACGGUUACUGGGUUGUAUUUAGUUUUCCUAAUCUUCAUUUUCAUUCUUCAAUUGGGUUUCUGGGUAUCUUUGAUUUUCUUCUCUUUUUUUUUUUUCUUUUCAUUGUUUUAGCCAUUGGAUUCGUUGUUCUUUGGUUUAUGGUUGAUUUUGGUUUCUGGGUUGUCUUCUUUUGGAUGUCUCUGUUUUAGAUAUCUGACUUCUUUUUUCUUUGGUUCCGUAUUUCUUUUAGUACUCUGUUUUCGUUCUUUGUUGUGUUUCUAAUCGAUGGAGAACAAUCAGGAUCAAUGUCAGUUACAGUUUCAGCCAUUUGGAAACGGGCACCGUUUUGAGAAUGGAGUUGAGGUUUUUGUGGGUUCUUCCAAGAAUACAGGAAACGAUGACUUCUCCGAUCGAUUUUCCGACGCCGGAGAUUCUUCAACUGGUCAUGAUCAUGACUCGGUGGUUUCGGAUUCUGAAAGUGGAAUUUCAGGGCCGAGUAUGGAGCAAUUGGAAUGGCGGAAUGAGGGAUUGGUAAAACUUGUAGAAGAAGACAAAAUUUACGACCUAAUCAAGAGAAGAUUCGUAUCUGGUUUGGGAUUACUUGGUCCGCAAACUACGGUCUCGGCCGUUUACAAGAAUAGUCAUUCGACUCAUAUUGGGCAAGCCCGUUUACACACGUUUCAGAUUUACUCCAAAGCAGUUGAGAAGAAAAAUGGCGGUAAUGCCAAUGUCAAGUACGCUUGGUUGGGGGCUUCUAAAGAUCAAAUCAAUAGCAUUCUCGGCUAUGGUUUUUCCCAUUGCAACAAACCUGAGAGUUCGCAGUGUCUUGGCUCUGGCAUUUAUCUUUCCCCUGAUAAUCAUCCUCUUGAAAGCCUGGAAGAUGCUGUUGUAGAUGCAGAUGGUUUAAGGCACCUAUUGCUCUGCCGUGUUGUAUUGGGUAAAUCGGAGCUUAUUCAUCCUGGUUCUAGACAGAAUCAUCCAAGUUGUGAAGCUUUUGAUUCGGGUGCUGACAAUCUCUUUGCACCAAAGAAAUACAUAGUUUGGAGUACACACAUGAACACCCACAUCUUGCCUGAGUAUCUUAUCAGUUUUAGAACUCCCCCUCGCUUGAAAGGAACUUUGAAGGCUAGACAGCCUUUCAGAAUGCCAACCUCCCCUUGGAUGCCAUUUCCAUCUCUGAUUUCUGUUCUCUCUAAGUAUCUACCUGCUCCUGAAAUUGCUAUGAUCACCAAGUAUCACAAAGACCACAGGCUUUUGAAUUCUAGGAUCAUAAGAUUUCAAGGCAUGAGUUGAUUAAGCGAGUGAGGCUGAUAGCAGGGGACAAGUUGUUGAUACAUGUAAUCAAAUCAUUCAGGACACAGGAAAGUAAUGUGGAUGUUGGAUUUGAAGGAAAGGGAAGUAGAAGUGGAGCAAGAAAUGGACAGAAAGCAGCAGGGAAUGUAGAGUCACCAAUUUUGUUAGAGUAGUUGGAUUGGGAGAAGUUUGCAGUUUCUGUUCUGUUCUGUUACGAACGACGAAAGAUUGGAGCACAAGCAAACAAAGAAGGGAUUCAAGGAACGAGUUUGAAACGAAACCAGUGGCUAGAACUAACAUUUUUAUCCUCUUCACCAUACUGUACAGCAAACGUUUGUUUUGUGAUUGGAAGAAUAUUAGCAUUACCAGCAAAAUGUUGUUGUUAUUGCUUUUACUUUAGAAAAUAAGAAAAUGUGUUUGUGCUUUAAGAAAACUCUAUCUUUUGUAGAUUCAUGAGGAUUCUCUCUUUUCCUCCUGAAUUAUAAAGAUAACAUGGACCUCAGCCUAAAAUGAUGUUUAUCAUGUAAUAUGUGGAGUUGUUUGGGUUCAUAAUAUGUAACUAUUAGUGGUUAAAAAGAUGAAAACGGAACUACUUAUGUUU